CCUACGGGGGGCUGCAGUGGGGAAUAUUGGACAAUGGGGGCAACCCUGAUCCAGCCAUGCCGCGUGUGUGAAGAAGGCCCUCGGGUUGUAAAGCACUUUCAGUGAGGAAGAACGCCUGGUGGUUAAUACCCAUCAGGAAAGACAUCACUCACAGAUGAAGCACCGGCUAACUCCGUGCCAGCAGCCGCGGUAAUACGGAGGGUGCGAGCGUUAAUCGGAAUUACUGGGCGUAAAGCGCGCGUAGGUGGCUUGAUAAGCCGGUUGUGAAAGCCCCGGGCUCAACCUGGGAACGGCAUCCGGAACUGUCAAGCUAGAGUGCAGGAGAGGAAGGUAGAAUUCCCGGUGUAGCGGUGAAAUGCGUAGAGAUCGGGAGGAAUACCAGUGGCGAAGGCGGCCUUCUGGACUGACACUGACACUGAGGUGCGAAAGCGUGGGUAGCAAACAGGAUUAGAUACCCGUGUAGUC
RNAcentral lists this ribosomal RNA (465 nucleotides) under Vreelandella stevensii. Its description in RNAcentral is "partial 16S ribosomal RNA". It matches the Rfam family "Bacterial small subunit ribosomal RNA", at positions 338 to 795 of the family's 1533-position model. Lineage: Bacteria; Pseudomonadati; Pseudomonadota; Gammaproteobacteria; Oceanospirillales; Halomonadaceae. The record is from RNAcentral.